Molecule: ribosomal RNA, 495 nt
Filed under: uncultured bacterium
Lineage: Bacteria
Description: partial 16S ribosomal RNA
Rfam family: Bacterial small subunit ribosomal RNA
Source: RNAcentral
GAUGAACGCUGGCGGCGUGCUUAACACAUGCAAGUCGAGCGAAGCAUUUUAAAGGAAGUUUUCGGAUGGAAUUUAAAAUGACUGAGCGGCGGACGGGUGAGUAACGCGUGGGUAACCUGCCUCAUACAGGGGGAUAAUAGUUAGAAAUGACUGCUAAUACCGCAUAAGCGCACAGUGCUGCAUCGCACAGUGUGAAAAACUCCGGUGGUAUGAGAUGGACCCGCGUCUGAUUAGGUAGUUGGUGAGGUAACGGCCCACCAAGCCGACGAUCAGUAGCCGACCUGAGAGGGUGACCGGCCACAUUGGGACUGAGACACGGCCCAAACUCCUACGGGAGGCAGCAGUGGGGAAUAUUGGACAAUGGGGGAAACCCUGAUCCAGCGACGCCGCGUGAGUGAAGAAGUGUUUCGGCAUGUAAAGCUCUAUCAGCAGGGAAGAAAAUGACGGUACCUGACUAAGAAGCCCCGGCUAACUACGUGCCAGCAGCCGCCGUAA